GCAAUAGAGCUUAAUUCAAUCUGAAUUUUUGGAUUAUUGAUUUUUCAAAACCUACAUCAAGUCAACAACACAAUAAUUUAAUUAGUUAAUUAAUUAAAGCAUUAUAUAAAUUAUUUAUUUAAUCAAAUCAAUUUAUAAAUUAUUUAAAAAUAAUCAAUUAAAUAAUUAAUUAAAACAUUUAUAAACAGUAAAUUAAAUAAUUCAUAAAUAACAAAUAAUUAAUUAAAUAAUCAUUCAUUUUUAAACAAAUAAUAAUUUUAUUAAUAUUUAUUACAUAAGAAUUAUUUUAUAAUUUAAUGCAAAAUUUUCAUUAUUUAAAACAAUAUGUUAAUUACUUAUAUAAUUAAUUAAAACUUCGUUUUAAUUAUUUUUAAAAAGUAAAUAAAAUAUUUUUUUAAUUAAUUAAAACAAAAUAAAAUAAUAUUUCAAGCAAAUUAAAUAAUAUUUCAUUUUCAUGAAAACAAAAUUAUUUCUUUCAAAUAAUUCAUUAAUAAUUGAUUUCAUGCAUAUUUAUUUCAUGUAAAUUAUUAGUUUCAUGUAAACUUAAUAAUUUAAAUUAAAUAAUUUAAAUAUAUAUGAUUCAAAAUUUAUUUUUAACAUUAUAAUUUCAUAUAACCAUUCAUAAAAUAUAUCCAUUCAUCAAAUAUUAUUUGAUAUUAUAACCAUUUCAUUUUAUUAUUAUUUCAUAACAAUCAUUCAUAGAAUUAAUAUAACUAUUUGAUAUAACCAUUUUAUUUAAUUUUUUUGCGAAUCAUUCAUAAACAUACUAAAAUAAUUCAAUAAAUUUAUCUUCCAUUCAUACUGUAGACAUUAAUCUUUCAUUCAUAUAUAACAAUUACAACAUAAAACAAGAAAUCAAUAACAAAAAAUCAAUUACAAAAAAAAUCAAUAAAACAAUCAAAAUAACAUAAUGAAAACAACAUAAUCACAACAUAAUCAAAACUCUUAGUAAAUGAAAGAUCCAACUCCUAGUAAAUGAAAGAUCUAAUUCUAUCUAUCAACCUAAGAAUUUACACUAUCUUUGAAGGAAAUGCCACCAUUGAACAUGUAGGAAAUAUUACCGAGGUGUGUGGAAGUGGAGACCGGCGACGGAGACGUGACCGACGGGAGGAGACGACGACGAAGACGGGAGGAGGCGACGACGAUUCGGCAGGAGCGACUCUGUCGAUUUGAAGAACAAGAAGCCAAUAUAACACAUAAAUCAUUAAGAGUAGAAACUAUAACACAUAAAUCAUAUAAUCAUAAACAUAUAAUAUAAACUAUAAAAUCGAUCAUUACAUAAACAUUACAGCAACCCAUUCAAUAAUCAUAAUCAUAAACAUAAAUCAAUAAACAUAAACAUAAUAAAUAAUAAAUAAAUCAAUAAUCAAUAAUAAUAAAAAAACAUAAACAUAAAUCAAUAAUCAAUAAUGAAAUAAUCAAUAAUCAAUAAUCAAUAAUGAAAUAAUCAAUAAUCGAAACCCAUUCACCCCAUAACAAUAAUCAAUAUCAAACCCAUCAUCACAAUAAUCUUAUCAACACAAUAAUCAUAAACAAAAAACCAUAAAAAAACAAAAGAAAAUAAAAAACAAACCUUCAAUCAACGACACCACGGCGAAGUGGAGAUCGAAGUGGAGAUCACGGCGACUGGGAGUGGAGACAGGCGACGACGACACCACAACGCGGCGGCGUAACCGGCGACGGGGAGACAGGCAGCGGCGGGGAGACACUCGGCAGCAGGGAGACA
Molecule: long non-coding RNA, 1726 nt
Filed under: Zostera marina
Lineage: Eukaryota; Viridiplantae; Streptophyta; Magnoliopsida; Alismatales; Zosteraceae
Description: long non-coding RNA (ZMAR_LNC002261)
Source: RNAcentral